Molecule: unclassified non-coding RNA, 228 nt
Filed under: Hevea brasiliensis (rubber tree)
Lineage: Eukaryota; Viridiplantae; Streptophyta; Magnoliopsida; Malpighiales; Euphorbiaceae
Source: RNAcentral
GGCAUAUUGUAUCAAAUUAUUCUCAAAAGGAAGUUAACUGAAAUUCAGUGGGCUGCUUUCAUUCUACUUUGUGCUGGGUGCACCACUGCACAGCUUAAUCCUAGUUCUGAUCAUGUUCUUCAGGCUCCUUUACAAGGUUGGGUUAUGGCUAUUGUAAUGGCCCUUUUGAGUGGUUUUGCCGGAGUUUACACAGAGGCUAUAAUUAAGAAGAGACCGUCAAGAAAUAUA